Molecule: ribosomal RNA, 498 nt
Filed under: uncultured bacterium
Lineage: Bacteria
Description: partial 16S ribosomal RNA
Rfam family: Bacterial small subunit ribosomal RNA
Source: RNAcentral
GACGAACGCUGGCGGCGUGCCUAAUACAUGCAAGUCGAACGAGAGCGACCGGUGCUUGCACUGGUCAAUCUAGUGGCGAACGGGUGAGUAACACGUGGGUAACCUGCCCAUCAGAGGGGGAUAACAUCCGGAAACGGAUGCUAAAACCGCAUAGGUCUUCGAGCCGCAUGGCUUGAAGAGGAAAAGAGGCGCAAGCUUCUGCUGAUGGAUGGACCCGCGGUGCAUUAGCUAGUUGGUGAGGUAACGGCUCACCAAGGCCGUGAUGCAUAGCCGACCUGAGAGGGUGAUCGGCCACAUUGGGACUGAGACACGGCCCAAACUCCUACGGGAGGCAGCAGUAGGGAAUCUUCCGCAAUGGACGCAAGUCUGACGGAGCAACGCCGCGUGAGUGAAGAAGGUUUUCGGAUCGUAAAACCCUGUUGUUAGAGAAGAACAAGUGCUAGAGUAACUGUUAGCGCCUUGACGGUAGCUAACCAGAAAGCCACGGCUAACUACGUG